UACGUAGGGGGCAAGCGUUGUCCGGAAUCAUUGGGCGUAAAGAGCGUGUAGGUGGACUGGAAGGUCUGGUGUGAAAGCCCGGGGCUCAACCCCGGAGGGUCACUGGAAACCAACAGUCUUGAGUCCGGAAGAGGAGAGUGGAAUUCCUGGUGUAGCGGUGGAAUGCGCAGAUAUCAGGAGGAACACCAAUGGCGAAGGCAGCUCUCUGGUACGUGACUGACACUGAGACGCGAAAGCGUGGGGAGCGAACAGG
RNAcentral lists this ribosomal RNA (253 nucleotides) under uncultured bacterium. Its description in RNAcentral is "partial 16S ribosomal RNA". It matches the Rfam family "Bacterial small subunit ribosomal RNA", at positions 524 to 776 of the family's 1533-position model. The record is from RNAcentral.